RNAcentral lists this long non-coding RNA (905 nucleotides) under Pan troglodytes (chimpanzee). Its description in RNAcentral is "long non-coding RNA NONPTRT010864". Lineage: Eukaryota; Metazoa; Chordata; Mammalia; Primates; Hominidae. The record is from RNAcentral.
AAAAUGUAUUAGUAGGCUGGUUUCAACCCUGGGGCCACCACCUUGCAACGUCUGAAAUGAAGUAUUCACCAGCAACCCACAGGAAGGCUUGCUUUGGCUAAUCUAUGGUCAAGACAGAAACAAAUUUCAACACCGUGGAAACUGGGACUCAUUGGAGAUGGCGUAGAGGCAGAAAAGACUGAGCGAGUUGUGGAAAAGGCUGAGCAGGAAGAGGAAGCAGAAGAAUGGUAGAAGGAUGUUCAGUGAGAUGUUGCCAUGCAAGGGCAAGGUUAUUAGAGCUGCUGCAGCCGUCUUGUGACAAUAAAAGAGAACCAAGAGGAUUUCAGAGAUACCAUCCCACAUCCUGACAUUAUGUAGCUUCUGAACCAUCUGUCUCCAUGGAUCUUGCUAUGUGAGCUUCUCUAUGCCACCUGAAUUCCUUGGCUUGCAGCCCCUUCCUCCAUCUUCAAAAUCAUCGGAAGAAACAAAAACAAGCUGUGGUGAAGAAGAAACGUUUUCUAAAGCCUCUUUUAUCCCCAGGAUGGUUGAGAAGUCAGAGGCCUGCAAUGCUAGGAAGAGAGGAUCUAAAAUGUCCUUUUCACCGUGAUGUAAGUAGGCUCUCCAGCAGUCCCAGAAGACUUUCACAAGAGGAGUUUCAGACAACAGAAAAUAAGCCUAAGUGAUUGUGUGAAUAUCACAGAGCAACAGAGAAAAUGUGGAUCACUCCAACUCUAGCACAAGGUCGGGGAGGAAAAAAAAUCAGAGAGUUUGGAAUUUCUAAAUGCUCGUGUUUGAGAAAUGGGGAGCAUCACAAACUAACAGCAGAGGUGGACAUUUUUUACAGGGUAAAGGAUUCCCAUGGAACAGCACUCGUCAAAUGCAAAUAAAAAUUGUACAAAGAAGGUAACUUCUUUCUCUGUCCCCAC